Non-coding RNA from Microcebus murinus (gray mouse lemur), 315 nucleotides. NCBI's taxonomy places the organism in Eukaryota, Metazoa, Chordata, Mammalia, Primates, Cheirogaleidae. The record is from RefSeq and is a predicted model, not a curated record.
AGCGCCUUGGCCGGCACUGGAAAAGCCAGGAUGGGGUGAUCCCUGAUCCUGACCUCGUUUCCCUAGUAACGGUCUCUGGAGCUGAUGGCCACCUAGCGAUUUGUCAGACUGUGACGGGUCUGGGCCUCCUGUUCCCAACUCAUAAGGCUUUACAGCCCCAUUGACCCGUCUUAUUGAAAACAUUUAGAAAAUACAGAAGACUUGAGUGAGAAUGAGCAAAAGAGGAAGUAGCAAGAGAGAAGUUCAGCGGUAACAAAAGAUGUUUCAUGGAACAAUCACAGAAGAGCUAACCAGUCAUGAAGAAUGGAGUCACUA